GGUGCUGCCACACUGGAUGCCUGGGGAGCUUUUGUUGUGGGGGGUUAAGUGCCUUGCUCUAGGGCACAACAGCAGGCAAUGAUGUCUAAGAUUUGAUACCAGUAAUCCUCCGGUUGCCAGCUCACUUCCCGACUGAUUUUUCCCGUCGGACCCGGGAUUCAAUCUUGCAACCCGGUUGCUGGCUCCCCUCUCUAACUGCUAGCCUACCUGCCACCCUUUAUGGGUGAUUGCACAGUAGGCACAAGCUGCAAUCCAAACUUAGAGCCUCAGCUCCUCGUAAUCCGGCUACGGCUCUUCCAGCUCGCACGUCAGCUCCUCCAGCUCCGGCCUCAGCUCUGCUGUCAGUUCCUCCAGCUCCGUCCCCAGCUCCUCCACCUCCACCACACGCAAGGUGGUGAUCGUCACAGAGGAAUUAGUGGAUGGCAAGGUUGUCUCCACAAGUGAAACCAAACAUACCUCUUAAGGUCCCACACACACAGCGAGCACUGCAGCAAGCAACGGUUUAACCCCAUAGAAAUAUAAUCACCAGAAUGGGUAUAGGAAAUGAAAGGCCAGCACAUGGAAUAUUAGUGCUUUGUUCAUGCAACCUAAAAUACAACGUUACAACUUAUACAAAGUCUUCGUCAGAUGAAAAAUCCCUAUUUUCGUUAUCUGUCUGAUUUGUUAAGGGCAGUUCUGGUUAACUCUAGUUUAAGAUAUGAAUUCCAUCCUACUAUUCUUUCUAGAAUGGCUAAAGCCCCUCAGAUACCCAUCAUGGAACAUUGACUUGAAUGGGGAUUUAUUUUCUGGUAAUUCUAUUUCUAUGGUUAACAACUCCAGAACAACAUAUUCUACUACAUCUGAAUGGGACACCAACAACAGACCCCAUUGUGAAUACAAUAAAGAUGCUCUGACUUGCUGACACCAUCA
Salmo salar (Atlantic salmon) is the source of this 909-nucleotide non-coding RNA. NCBI's taxonomy places the organism in Eukaryota, Metazoa, Chordata, Actinopteri, Salmoniformes, Salmonidae. The record is from RefSeq and is a predicted model, not a curated record.